RNAcentral lists this ribosomal RNA (301 nucleotides) under uncultured bacterium. RNAcentral describes it as "partial 16S ribosomal RNA". It matches the Rfam family "Bacterial small subunit ribosomal RNA", at positions 509 to 807 of the family's 1533-position model. The record is from RNAcentral.
CAGUCGCCACGGGAAUACGAAGGGUGCAAGCGUUACUCGGAAUUACUGGGCGUAAAGCGUGCGUAGGUGGUGGUUUAAGUCCGUUGUGAAAGCCCUGGGCUCAACCUGGGAAUUGCAGUGGAUACUGGGUCACUAGAGUGUGGUAGAGGAUAGUGGAAUUUCCGGUGUAGCAGUGAAAUGCGUAGAGAUCGGAAGGAACAUCUGUGGCGAAGGCGACCAUCUGGGCCAACACUGACACUGAGGCACGAAAGCGUGGGGAGCAAACAGGAUUAGAUACCCCCGUAGUCCCUGUCUCUUAUAC